Molecule: ribosomal RNA, 253 nt
Filed under: uncultured bacterium
Lineage: Bacteria
Description: partial 16S ribosomal RNA
Rfam family: Bacterial small subunit ribosomal RNA
Source: RNAcentral
UACAGAGGUCCCGAGCGUUGUUCGGAUUCACUGGGCGUAAAGGGUGCGUAGGUGGUUGGGUAAGUCUGAUGUGAAAUCUCCGGGCUCAACCCGGAAAUGGCAUUGGAUACUAUUCGGCUAGAGGUUUGGAGGGGGGACUGGAAUUCUCGGUGUAGCAGUGAAAUGCGUAGAUAUCGUAAGGAAGACCAGUGGCGAAGGCGGGUCUCUGGACAGUUCCUGACGCUGAGGCACGAAAGCCAGGGGAGCAAACGGG